This 459-nucleotide ribosomal RNA is filed under the name uncultured bacterium. RNAcentral's name for it is "partial 16S ribosomal RNA". It matches the Rfam family "Bacterial small subunit ribosomal RNA", at positions 338 to 795 of the family's 1533-position model. The record is from RNAcentral.
CCUACGUGUGGCAGCAGUGAGGAAUAUUGGUCAAUGGCCGGAAGGCUGAACCAGCCAAGCCGCGUGAAGGACGCAGGUGCCAAGCAUUGUAAACUUCUUUUGUCAAGUGACAAAAUCAGGCUCGAGAGCCUGACCGAGGGUACUUGCAGAAAAAGCAUCGGCUAACUCCGUUCCAGCAGCCUCGGUAAUACGGAGGAUGCGAGCGUUAUCCGUAUUUAUUUGGUGUAAAGGGUGCGUAGGCGGACUUGUAAGUCAGCGGUAAAACCCCGGGGCUCAACCCAGGCGAAGCGUUGAAACUGGCUGUAUUGAGAUGUCGAGAGGUAUGCGGAAUGCGGAGUGUAGCGGUGAAAUGAUUAGAUAUUGCGCAGAACUCCGAUUGAGAAGGCAGCAUACCGGCGGCGAUCUGACGCUGAGGCACGAAAGCGUGGGUAUCGAACAGGAUUAGAUACCCCAGUAGGC